GAUGAAGAACGCAGCGAAAUGCGAUAAGUAAUGUGAAUUGCAGAAUUCAGUGAAUCAUCGAAUCUUUGAACGCACAUUGCGCCCGCCAGUAUUCUGGCGGGCAUGCCUGUUCGAGCGUCAUUUCAACCAUCAAGCCCCCGGGCUUGUGUUGGGGACCUGCGGCUGCCGCAGGCCCUGAAAAGCAGUGGCGGGCUCGCUGUCACACCGAGCGUAGCAUACAUCUCGCUCUGGGCGUGCUGCGGGUUCCGGCCGUUAAACUACCCUUUUAACCCAAGGUUGACCUCGGAUCAGGUAGGAAGACCCGCUGAACUUAAGCAUAUCAAUAAGCGGAGGA
Molecule: unclassified non-coding RNA, 334 nt
Filed under: soil metagenome
Description: partial contains 5.8S ribosomal RNA, internal transcribed spacer 2, and large subunit ribosomal RNA
Rfam family: 5.8S ribosomal RNA (bases 1-120)
Source: RNAcentral